AGAGUUUGAUCCUGGCUCAGAACGAACGCUGGCGGCAGGCCUAAUACAUGCAAGUCGAGCGCAUCCUUCGGGAUGAGCGGCGGACGGGUGAGUAACGCGUGGGAAUAUGCCCUUCUCUAAGGAAUAGCCUCGGGAAACUGAGAGUAAUACCUUAUACGCCCUUCGGGGGAAAGAUUUAUCGGAGAAGGAUUAGCCCGCGUUAGAUUAGGUAGUUGGUGGGGUAAUGGCCUACCAAGCCUACGAUCUAUAGCUGGUUUGAGAGGAUGAUCAGCCACACUGGGACUGAGACACGGCCCAGACUCCUACGGGAGGCAGCAGUAGGGAAUCUUAGACAAUGGGGGAAACCCUGAUCUAGCCAUGCCGCGUGUGUGAUGAAGGCCUUAGGGUCGUAAAGCACUUUCGCCAGAGAUGAUAAUGACAGUAUCUGGUAAAGAAACCCCGGCUAACUCCGUGCCAGCAGCCGCGGUAAUACGGAGGGGGUUAGCGUUGUUCGGAAUUACUGGGCGUAAAGCGCACGUAGGCGGAUUAGUAAGUUAGAGGUGAAAUCCCAGGGCUCAACCCUGGAACUGCCUUUAAUACUGCUAGUCUUGAGUUCGAGAGAGGUAAGUGGAAUUCCGAGUGUAGAGGUGAAAUUCGUAGAUAUUCGGAGGAACACCAGUGGCGAAGGCGGCUUACUGGCUCGAUACUGACGCUGAGGUGCGAAAGUGUGGGGAGCAAACAGGAUUAGAUACCCUGGUAGUCCACACCGUAAACGAUGAAUGCCAGACGUCAGCAAGUAUACUUGUUGGUGUCACACCUAACGGAUUAAGCAUUCCGCCUGGGGAGUACGGUCGCAAGAUUAA
Molecule: ribosomal RNA, 842 nt
Filed under: uncultured bacterium
Lineage: Bacteria
Description: bacterial SSU rRNA
Rfam family: Bacterial small subunit ribosomal RNA
Source: RNAcentral